GAUAUCCAUCCGAGCCUCUCCCCUUCUCCUCGCAGCCGCGCACCGCCGCCGGUACUCCCGCCGGCGCCGCCCGCGCUCCACCUCCUGUCUCUCCUUUGAUCUGCACCAUACGCCCGGGUCCUCCCUCCUCCGCUUCCCAGGCCUCGCAGCCCCUUCACCUUCCAGCGACCGCGGCGCCAGAUCAGCGGCCCGACUGAGGCGGCGGCGAACCAUAGCCACAACGGGUCGCCGGCGCCCGUCCUCGCCUCGGCUGCCUCCUUGCCUCCUCGGUUUUGCGGCCGUAAGGAGCUGCAUCCGGCCUGGGAUGAGGUCCGGCACAGGGAACCGGCCUGGGGAAAUGGACCGAUGGAGGCCGCGUCGAACCCUAGCCGCAACCGGUCGUUGGCGCCCAUCCCGCGCCGCGGCUGAUCACCCCGAGCUCCCUCCUCGUCUCCUCUGUUUUACGGCCGAAGGAGAUGCAGCCUGCGUGGGACGAGGUUGGACGCAGUGAACCGGCCCGGCGAAAUGACCCACGGGGGCACCAAGCACGGCGAGGACCAGCCUCCUCCUCUUUCUCUUUGACCUCAAUCAAUGACGCUCUCUACCAUACACCGUGGCCUUUGGCAUUGGCUGGCUUCGUGGAACAUUUUUCACUGGAAAACAUCCAAAUCCAAUGUCGAGAAGCUUGGCGUUGACAAGAUCUGAAGCUCUGCACCAGACUCUCAAGCACUAAAGCAGAACGCAACCACCUUGGCCAUUCCUCCGGUGUGCAUGAUUUGACGCUCUCUACCCUACAUGUACAUGAGCUUCUGUACUCCAGCUUUGUUCAUGGACGACUGGCCUGCAAAAACUCACUCCGACACCUCCUGCGUGGCUUCCCCUGCGCCUCUCGUGGCCACUUUUCUCUGACUCCGGCAUAGGUAAUCCACUCAACUGCUCUCCUCUGCUUUCUCUUAUGCUAUGUGUGUCCACAGCCACCGAGCUGUGGGGAAUGCUUGGUAUGGGUUUAGUUCUGCAACACACACAAAAGAACUUUCCAUAGAAGUUUCGCACUGCACUCUGAGUAGUGCAAUCAAGCAUUUGUGUAUUUAUUUGGAAAAAUAUGGAAUCUUUGUAACUCAUGCUGGCCAUUGGGUAAAUGACUUGCUGUUGUUGGUCAAGUACGGGGUCUUUUUUUUACCAAUUGUUGCAUUUUUUUUUGUAGAAAAUGGUCUCUCGCAUGAAAAUGUUCUAUGUUGGAUGAACAAUCCAUAUGCAUGGGUAGUUCAUUGGGCCGACAGCAAUGUGGAUUCUUGAUCUGUAUGGUCUUUGAUGCCAAUAUUUGUGCUUCUUGUGAUUGUCUUGUACUCCCUCCAUUCAUAAAUAUAAGUCUUUUUAGACAUUUCAAAUGGACUACAACAUACGGAUGUAUGUAGACAUAUUUUAGAGUGUAGAUUCACUCAUUUUGCUCCGUAUAUAGUCACUUGUUGGAAUCUCUAGAAAGACAUAUAUUUGGGAAUGGAGGGAGUAGUAAUUAGUGGCACUGUUUUAGUGGAUUGAGCCCAAAGUGCUAGUUUACCUAUCACUAUAUCAAUUAGUGAUGUGAUCAUUGAUUCUUGUUUUGUAUGCAAACCUCAAUGACACUCUACCUGAGCCGGUGGCCCUCGGCAUCGACCUCGGUGUCAUGAAGAACAUCCAAGAUUAUAUGGUCGAGAAGCUCAGCGUCGACAAGAGCAUCAUCCUAGAGCUCUGCAUCAUCCUCUACAAGCAAGUACCGAACCACCAUGGCCAUGCCACUGGCCAUUGUGCACCAAUUUGACGACGAUGAUUUCCACAGCUUUGUUCAUGGAUGGCUGGCUUACAAAAAGCUCACGCCGACGCCUCCGGUGUGGCUUCCCCUACGCCUCCAGCAUAGGGUUCUUGUACAUGCGAAAGUGCAUGAUUUUUCGAUGCUUGUCUAGCUGCAGUUGUCUCCCCAUGUAAUGGCAUCAAGUUCAGAGCGCCCCAACUGCCUCUCCUUCGACCGUGGUUCAGGAGAGCAUGUCUAAAGAAAAGAAAAACCUGGAUAAUCAUGGUUGUUACAGGCCUAGGGAAAUUGAUACACUCAUGGGCCACCUGAUGUUGGUUGUCAAGCUUGUUUGCUGCGACCAUCAGCCGAUGUAUCCUUCAUCAGUGCACGGCCAUGGCGAUGAAAUGCUGCGUUGAUGGGUCUAGUUUCAGAAUUAAGCUAUGUAGUUUGGCUCUGUCAUGUUGCAAUGUCUGUGAAGGAAGGACACAAAGUGCUAGUGCUUCCUGGGCUGUGUAGACCCCAAAUAUUUUUAUUAGCUCAUCUGAGAAGUACUCCCUCUGUUCGUAACUGUAAGUCUUUUUAGAUAUUCCAAUUCGGACUGCAUACGGAGCAAAAUGAGUGAAUGUACACUCUAAAAUAUGUAGUCCAUAUUGACAUCUCUAGAAAGACUUUUAUUUAGGAACGGAGGGAGUAGUUGAUGACAUAAAUAAUCAACUUGGUUUUGGGUCAAAAUAUAUUGCACUGUCUGCAUGCUUCUUUCUAUUUUAACAAAUCUGGUGGAAGCAAUACCAGUGUGAACGUUGCGGUGUAAAAUGUUGUGCAUUAUGGGAAUUUUCUUUCUUGGUUAA
Triticum aestivum (bread wheat) is the source of this 2595-nucleotide long non-coding RNA. RefSeq lists it as uncharacterized. The transcript is spliced from 8 exons. Lineage: Eukaryota; Viridiplantae; Streptophyta; Magnoliopsida; Poales; Poaceae. The record is from RefSeq and is a predicted model, not a curated record.